GACGUAGGUGGCGAACGUUAUCCGGAAUUAUUGGGCGUAAAGGGUGCGUAGAUGGCUUAAUAAGUUAGCGGUGGGAAAUCGAGGCUUAACCUCGCGGAAGCCGGUAAUACUGUUAGGCUUGAGUACAGAAGAGGUUAAUGGAACUCCAUGUGGAGCGGUAAAAUGCAUAGAUAUAUGGAAGAACACCAAUAACGGCGAAGGCAAUUAACUAUUCUGCUACUGACAUUGAGGCACGAAAGCGUGGGGAGCAAAACGG
Molecule: ribosomal RNA, 256 nt
Filed under: uncultured bacterium
Lineage: Bacteria
Description: partial 16S ribosomal RNA
Rfam family: Bacterial small subunit ribosomal RNA
Source: RNAcentral